Long non-coding RNA from Brassica napus (rape), 1236 nucleotides. RefSeq lists it as uncharacterized. NCBI's taxonomy places the organism in Eukaryota, Viridiplantae, Streptophyta, Magnoliopsida, Brassicales, Brassicaceae. The record is from RefSeq and is a predicted model, not a curated record. The transcript has 3 exons.
UAUCAAACAUGCAAAAUCGAAGAUCCUUUCAACUCUUCUAAAUUUUCAAUUUUGAUCUCAAGUUCUCGACCUGCUUUUUCAUAUCUUUUCUUAUGUCUAUACCAAUUCAAUUUUUUUAUUCAUCACCUGGAUUACUACUUAAAAGUUCAUGAUCAUCACAUUUUUCAGAUCAGACAGUGGAAAACAUUCGUCUUUGAACCUUUCUUAAAGCAACAGUUGGUUGGUGGUUGAGUUUAAAUCACGACAGGGAGAGAUUAGUUUUGUUGCAGGCUUCUAGAAUUUGCAGUGCAGACUGGUAUAAGAAAUAAAAGCUGAUUCAAGAAAACCAUAUAUGAGGGAUAAGAAAAAAAAUUGGACAGAUCUGCUCUACAGUAAACUUUGAGAAGGUUGAAGACGCUGGAUUACAAAGUGUUACCGACGCUUGGGUGAAUCAAAGUCAGUAAUGGGCCAUGACUUCAAGGGAGAUGCCCUGAUCAAACCCGGUUGGUUAGUAAAUAGGGUAGCAGAAGCACUCUUGUUGUGGCAACAAAUCUAACCUCUCACAUUUAAACACAGAGAAGCCUGUACAGUGUAUAUUAAAGAACACAAGGAGUGUGAAUUCGGUUAGCAUAGCGUCAUGAAGUUCAUCUUUAGGCUUGUGGAGAGAGAUUCUAAUAAUAUUUUCUCUUCAACUUGAUAUAUAUAAUUUGUUAAUACUUCUAUGUAAUAAUAAUAUCUCCUAACUUUCGUCAAACAAAAAAAGUCUCCUAACUUUAUUAAGUUUUUUUUAUCACAUUUCUUUGCAAGAGAUUUAUAUGAUUGUAAUCUUCUUAUUAUGUUACAAAUCAAUUCAAUUAAUGUACUAUAUAUGGUGGUCCUGGACAACAUAAGUCUUCAAAAGGUUAUGUCCUUAAUGACUAACCGAUUAAUGCAAACAUACUGUGUUUCUCUUCCAACGUCGUUAAACUUUUUUUUCGUACGAGGUGGAGAAAUUACAUGUAGGUUGAUACUAUUAAAGACAAGCCCAACCCAAUGUUAAGUAGUCCAAUAAUAUGUCAUAGCCCAAAUGUUUAGGGUUCUUUCUAGUGCAUAUAUAUAUAUGAAUGCUAUCUUUCUAUCUUGGGAACUAAGGCUGCGGUUUGUGCAGCCAAAACCUUAUCUUUAUGAAUAUCAUUUCAGAAUCAUUUUGAUAUUGGUGACAACUUAAAUCUCUUCUCCUUUCUUUACCUUCUUGUUCAAUAAAGCCUUAAUAAGCUA